RNAcentral lists this ribosomal RNA (774 nucleotides) under uncultured Neocallimastigales. Its description in RNAcentral is "partial large subunit ribosomal RNA". It matches the Rfam family "Eukaryotic large subunit ribosomal RNA", at positions 24 to 616 of the family's 3401-position model. The record is from RNAcentral. Lineage: Eukaryota; Fungi; Neocallimastigomycota; Neocallimastigomycetes; Neocallimastigales.
UAUGUGAUCGUCUCUCGCAUAUCAAUAAGCGGAGGAAAAGAAACUAACAAGGAUUCCCCUAGUAACGGCGAGUGAAGCGGGAAGAGCUCAAAUUUGAAAUCUUAAAGGGUUUCCCUUUACGAAUUGUAGUUUAAAGAAGUGUUUUCUGUUGAGGUUUUGGUAAAAGUUCUUUGGAAUAGGAUAUCAUAGAGGGUGAGAAUCCCGUAUUUGACCUUUACUUUCAACUUUGUGAUACACUUUCAAAGAGUCGGAUUGUUUGGGAAUGCAGUCCAAAAUGGGUGGUAAAUUUCAUCUAAAGCUAAAUAUUGGCGAGAGACCGAUAGCGAACAAGUACCGUGAGGGAAAGAUGAAAAGAACUUUGAAAGGAGAGUUAAACAGUACGUGAAAUUGUCAAAAGGGAAGCGUUUGACACCAGUGUUGUUUUUCUGAAAAUCAAUUAAAGAACUGUUUAUGCUAAGCUGUUUAGACUUUAUCAGCUAUCUGUUUAGUUUUGAGCUUUUCUUUAAUGCACUUUUCAGUUAACAAGUCAACAUCAAUUUCUUUUGCUGUAAAAAAGCUUGAGGAAGGUGGCUUGAGAUUCGUCUUAAGUGUUUAUAGCCUCUUGCCUAUGCAGUCGGAGAGAUUGAGGUCUGCAGCGUAGAUCCUUCGGGGCUAAAUGCAUUUGUGCUAAGUUAUAGCAUUUUAUAGACAACUUGUUGACUAUGAUUUGUCUUGUAGCUUACUCGCUUAUGUUAUUUUACCUACGCUUAGGAUGUUGAGCGCAUGUCUCUCUCU